Molecule: long non-coding RNA, 460 nt
Organism: Pistacia vera
Lineage: Eukaryota; Viridiplantae; Streptophyta; Magnoliopsida; Sapindales; Anacardiaceae
Exons: 3
Source: RefSeq, a predicted model, not a curated record
CUACAGCCAAAAAAAUAAUCCAAGUGGAACUACAGUGGCCCAUUGUUGUAUUGCCAAAGGAGAGAGGCAAAUCAUUUUCAGCAGAGGAUAAAUCAGGAGCAGUGGUCCAACACAAGGGACACGUUAAAGUUACUUAAGCAGAUCUGAGCCCCUAGUUGGUGUUGUGUUUGCCGGAUGGUUAGCUUCUCUUCUAAUCAGAAAUGGAGCAAGAUUUGGAUGUGGAAGGGAAUGAUACUUUAUGCCUGGAGAAGAAGCCUUAAUUAGAAGAUUUAGACCAAUGCUGGUAAAUGCCACAAAGACUAUGCCUUGAUCUGGAAUGAUGAAAUUCUGGAGUACGUUGCAGAAUUGGAUUUCAAAAGUUAUGUGUGGUUGAAGAUUUUAGCUGGACUCCUACAGUUGCAAAAGGUUUCUUCACAGCUUCAUGAAAUUUUUCAAGUGGUGUUGGUGCUGAAGCCUUUUU